CUCUCCUGCGCGAGGGAGAUUCCUGGUUCAUCAGCAUGGACGUGUUGUUUUUCCACGUUGGGAGCGCCGUGCUGCCGUGUCAAUCACCCCGAUCCAGUGGGUUCGAGAGCGGCAGGGCUGACGAUGCGGGGCGUGAUUGGCUGCCAUAUGCUGGGAGGGCUCUGGGAGAAGGAAGGGCUGCAGUCCUCCAGCAACAGAGUUUAGGCUGUGUCUUUGCUUCAUCAUCUGAGGAAAAAUCCCCCGAUAAGGCUCAGGGCUUUCUGAGCGCAAGGAAAAUAAAAAAAAUAGAAGAAAAAAAAAAAAAUGGACGGUUAAUCGCUUGGUGUGACAUCCAUUCAUCACAAUGAUGCGAUGGGAAAGGCGCGGCUGUUUGUGGAUGUCAGAUGUUUCUGUUCACAUUGGAAACGUGCCGAAUAGACGGAGCUGAACAAGGUCAGUGAUUUAAAAAGUGCCUUUGUGAAGUCACUUUUAUGGGAGAGGACUGCUACGCCUGUGUUUUCAAAACACUGUCUUUGCCAGCUAGACGUUGCCUUGACCUUACCCGUGGCGGAAGAUACCUCAACUGUCUUGAUUUGCCAAUUAAUUGAUGGGAAACUGAACUCACCGUAAGAGCGGGAAGAAGGAAUUAUUAUUACUGGGACACGAACAAAUGAACGCAUUGCUUUUCUUGUGUAAUCAGUACCAGCAAGCGACCUGCGGCGGACUAAUAUUCCAUCCAAGAGUGCCAUUGCAUUGAAGGACGUGUGCUUGAACCUGGUGCAGCAGUGAUACAGUCAGCAGACCCACACGUUUUACAGACAGAAAUGCUCCUGAGCAUGAUCUUCUUCAGCCAAAAGUCUACAAGCGGGACUUAAUGAUUGAUGAGUAACUGCUCGCUGAUAAACUUUCUCUGUUUAUUCAGUGUUGUGUGAGUUGGACAUCGUUAAUCGUCCUCCCCCACUUUUUUUUUUUU
RNAcentral lists this long non-coding RNA (952 nucleotides) under Gallus gallus (chicken). RNAcentral's name for it is "long non-coding RNA NONGGAT001177". Lineage: Eukaryota; Metazoa; Chordata; Aves; Galliformes; Phasianidae. The record is from RNAcentral.